RNAcentral lists this transfer RNA (76 nucleotides) under Candidatus Pandoraea novymonadis. Its description in RNAcentral is "tRNA-Thr". It matches the Rfam family "tRNA". From Rfam's summary of the family: Transfer RNA (tRNA) molecules are approximately 80 nucleotides in length. The record is from RNAcentral. RNAcentral also lists the same sequence under 1 other name. Lineage: Bacteria; Pseudomonadati; Pseudomonadota; Betaproteobacteria; Burkholderiales; Burkholderiaceae.
GCCGGCUUAGCUCAUUUGGUAGAGCAGUUGAUUUGUAAUCAUCAGGUGGCAGGUUCGAUUCCUGCAGCCGGCACCA